CUGUAACUUUAGUCUAGGCUCUGGCUAUACGGCAUUGUGACAUAUCACUGCACUGAUCACCCAGGAGAUGUAACUCUUGUCUAGGCUCUGCCUAAAGUGGGCUUGUGACAUAUCUCUGCACUGAUCACCCAGGUGAUAUAACUCUUCUCUAGGAUCUGCCUACUGGGUGCUUUGUGACAUAUCCCUGCAAUGAUCACCCAGGUGAUAUACCACUUGUCAAGGCCCUGCCUACAGGGGCAUUGCGAUGUAUCUCUGCACUGAUCACCCAGGUGAUGUAACUCUUUUCUAGGAUCUGCCUACAGGGUGCUUUGUGACAUAUCCCUGCAAUGAUCACCCAGGUGAUGUACCACUUGUCAAGGCUCUGCCUACAGGGACAUUGCGAUGUAUCUCUGCACUGAUCACCGAGGUCAUGUAACUCUAGUCUAGGCUCUGCCUACUGUAGCAUAGUGACAUAUCUCUGCACUGAUCAUCCAAGUGAUGUAACCUUUCUCUAGGAUCUGCCUAAAGGGAAUUUGUGACAUAACUCUGCACUGAUCAUCCAGGUGAUGGGGCUUUUAUCUAGGCUCUGCCUAAGGGGGCAUUGUGACAUAUUUCUGCACUGAUC
This 604-nucleotide long non-coding RNA is filed under the name Homo sapiens (human). Its description in RNAcentral is "HSALNT0409332". Lineage: Eukaryota; Metazoa; Chordata; Mammalia; Primates; Hominidae. The record is from RNAcentral.